This 64-nucleotide transfer RNA is filed under the name Onthophagus yukae. RNAcentral's name for it is "tRNA-Glu". Lineage: Eukaryota; Metazoa; Arthropoda; Insecta; Coleoptera; Scarabaeidae. The record is from RNAcentral.
AAUUUAUUAGUUUAAUUAAAAACAUUACAUUUUCAAUGUAAAAAUAAACUAUAUUUAUAAAUUA